AUGGCAGAGCGGCGAGGCAGAAUCGUAUUCUCUGCCAACUAUAGGCCCCCGCUACCAUUCGACAUCUUCUCCUGCCCUUUCUUGCCUUUGUCCAUCAAAGAUGAGCUCCAUCUCACUGAUGGCAUGUCCUACAACUACAACGGCUGCCCAAUCCCUCCCGCUGCACUGAAGACCCUUCUGAAGAUCCCCAAGCUGACUGAAGAAAGCAGCGCCACUGAUGCAGACGUCGACGCUGGCCAUGUCUCUGGCCUUCUCUUUGUCUCGGAGAGGGACCAAGGGCUUGAGACACUAUGCGUCAACUUGUGGUUCAGUGCUGAUGGCAAGGUCAAGGUCUUCACCCUUGCCGACAUUUUUGGCUCAGCGGACUUCAGCGGCACGCGCCUGGAGGACAGUGGCUGCAUUGGCGGUGGCUACAGUGUAGGUUAUCGUAACGUCGACUACUCUCUCAUCUACGUCUCCACCAAGGAGGCGGUGCAGGAAUGCCGUAGCCCCUGGACUGUCGUGUACAGAACCAACCUCACAACAGGCAAGACGGAUCGCCUCACUCCACAAGGGGUGUUUGAUUUGAGCCCGGCGGUGUCGCCGUCAGGGAAGACUGUCGCAGUAGCAUCAUUUCAAGGGAGUUGUUGGAAUGGCGAGAUCGAGAACCUGAAGACAGAUAUCUACGUGAUGAACGUGGAUAGUGAGGGCCUGGGUCGCAAGCUACCCAUUAAGAAUGGUGGUUGGCCAUCCUGGGGCAGCGACAACGUCAUCUUCUUCCAUCGAGGCACCGACAAAACCCUUCCCUCGACUUGGGGCGUGUUCCGGUACAACAUCAGCACCAAGGUAACCAUCCAGGUUACUCCCGAAGAGUUGGACGCGGUGACUCCAGCGGCUAUCAGUGAGACCAAGGUGGCGGUGGCGACCAUCCGCCAGAAGUCCAAGUACAGCGACGUCCGUGUAAAGGCGCAGUACCGGCACAUUGAGAUCUUCAACACAAAUGCCCCGUGGCUGCCACCUGUACAGAUCACCCAGAAGACAAGGCCAGAAAGUGACCACUACAACCCCUUUGUGCUGGACGGCGGGCAGCGCAUUGGAUAUCACCGCUGCAGGAGCGACCUCCUGCAGCACGGAGACGUCGUCCCUCAGAACGUGCACAAGGUGGAGUCGCCGGUGAAGGAAGUCGGGUUGUAUCGGGUGUCUGGCAUGUUUCCGACCAUCUCCAAGGAUGGCUCCAAGCUUGCAUUUGUCGACAAUGAGUUCAAAGCGGUGUGGAUCGCUGAUACCCAAGGGCUGCGUGUCGUGUACGAGAAAAGAGGGCCGGACAGCGUCUUCUGCCCUGUUUGGAACCAGAACCCAGACAAGGACAUCCUCUACAUCUGUGUUGGCCCCUCAUUCAACGCCCAGAAGCCACUGGAGAUCUACUCCAUCCGCAAUGCCUCCAGCAACGCACGACAGAAUGUCAAAAGGCUCACCCAUGGCGGGUUCAACAACGCAUUUCCGUCGAGCAGCCCGGACGGGAACAAAUUCGUGUUCCGGUCGACGAGGGAUGGAGGUGAGAAGAGGCACAAGAACCUGUACAUAAUGCUGGACACGGAUAUGGGUGAAUACGGUGAAGGCUGGGAGACGAGGCUGACGAAAGGGUCAUGGACAGACACCCAUUGCCAGUGGUCCCCGAACGGUGACUGGAUCGUCUUCUCAUCAACGCGCGGCAAACCGCCGCUGGGCUCUGGCAAUCUGAAUAACGGCACAGGGUACUACUCCCUGUACCUGGUGAAGGCAACUGACCCAAUGGUGCUGAUCAGGGUGGCGAGCAAUGGGGGCGACAUCGGUCACAUAAGCCACCCAGUUUUCAGCCCGGACGGGAGGAGCAUCGCCGUGACGGCAGACCUAGCGGCGGUGUCUGUGGACCCGAUCUCGCUGCCAAAGUUCAUGCAUGCAGUGCGGCCCUAUGGUGACAUCUUCUUGGUGGACAUCGACAACCCAGACAACAAGAAAAAGAAUGAAGACAUGAUCAAGGGGUUCCACCGGGUCACGCACAGCAGGUACGAGUGCGGGACGCCGGCGUGGACGACGACCUUGACCGGUGCGACGGAGCCAAAUGUGCAGUGGAACAUGUUGCUGGACAUGGAUCAGUUGUACAAACCGGUGUGUCCGUACGUCCACCCCGACGGGGGCGAGAGCUGGCACAUGACCGGCCACCUCUGCAUCCCCAAGAGAGCCUGCUGA
RNAcentral lists this ribosomal RNA (2208 nucleotides) under Triticum aestivum (bread wheat). Its description in RNAcentral is "partial small subunit ribosomal RNA". The record is from RNAcentral. Lineage: Eukaryota; Viridiplantae; Streptophyta; Magnoliopsida; Poales; Poaceae.